CUGCUCUUUCACCCUCCAACUCAUGCGGGCAGCUAAACUGAAAGAAGAAAAAUGGACAAAAGGGAAAAAGACAGGACUCUACCAAGAACCCCUCUUUGAUGGAAACUUGAGGCAUCUCUGCUGUAAGAGUGGGAAGAGAAGAAAAGCAUUUCCAGAAGCAGCUGGAAUAGCAUCGUAAACAUCCUAACAACCCACAGAAAAAGCCCAAUGACACUCUCCUGCUGGAUGAAACAAAGACCUCUAACAGUUCAGCAGGAUCAUAUUGUCCUGCUGACAGAUCAUGCAUGUGAAGUAGAAGAGCUGAUACAGGAUAGUGAAACCAGCAAUGAACCUGAGAAAAUUGAGGAGGCGCAGCUGGAAUAUAAAUGGACAAAAGCAGCCUCUGACAAGGAAAGGCAAGAUCAAAAGGAAGAAAACACGUAGGAGAGUGGAUAAAUGCUAAAACUAAUGGGACCACCCACAAACAUAGGAUACCUCCUCCAAAAUGUACGCAUGAAGGUUUGAGCAUGUAUUUAUCUAUCAUGAGAUUAACAAGAAUGUGAAAUAGAAUACUUCUGAUAUAAAUUACCACAGGUACUAAAAUGUCUGUUCUAUCUACGAUAGGUUAUAUCCUCAUUCAGAGGCACUUAAACUCUGAUUAAAUGGAACCCUGCAACAUCUGUAGAGAGUCAGAUUGAAUCAUUCUUCAGGAGACAAACACUACAUGUUUUCAUUAUGUUUCAAUUACAUAGCCUGUCCAGAUCUUAAGGAUUUACACUUUGGGGUUUUUUUUUAAUCUUCUAUUUCUUUAAAGUAGAACAUGGAUGUAACGAUCAUGUUAGCACAGUGGAUAAAUGAUGACAAAAAUCAGCAGCAAAAUUUGAAGCGAUCCCAUUCAUUGGUCUACCUACAGAUAAAAAAAGGGUUGCUUUUUUCCUUGAUGCCUGACAAAGACACUCUGAUUUCUGAAAGCUGUAUUUUAAAACUGUUGUUUAAAUCACCUACAUAAGUAUAUCUGAGUAGUUGCAUCAAAGAGCCACAGUAGUUUGGAUCUGAUUCUGAAUUUGUAAUUUUUCCAGUAAAAAAGAUUGGUUUAGAAAGUUUGAAGCCUUCUUAAUGAACCAUGGAAAAUGCUUAGAGAAGUGGAGACUAAUCUUGUGAAAAGACAGAUGAACUCAAGAUACCUACGGAGAUUUUAGAAGCGAUAGAAAUAUGAGAUUGAAGAAAAAAACGGUGUUUGUGAUUACAAAGCAGAAUUGCAGAGAAGAGAGAUGAAACACUAGAAGCAGAUAAGUUUAUCUAGUCAAUAUAUGGAGAAAGAAAGCGAUGGAGAUAACAUAUCUAGUGACGAAGACCACAGAAUGGUAGUUGAUGAGGAAGGUUGAGAUGAUUUUUUCAGACUUUGAAUGACAACAGUGUAUUCCUCUGAGGCUGGCAAGGUGCGGCGGAAAAUUAGUUGCUGAGGUAUGAGAAGAAUCAAGACACCUAGUUAGUUUUGCAGUGAAAGCAGUGGAUUGGUACUCAUAUAACCUGCAUUUUGACUCCCUGGUUAAGUUUGAAGUUCUGUUUUUCUUGGGCAACGCAGUUGCUUCUCUCUUCAGUUUCCUGUUUAUAAGCUAGGGUUGAUAGUACUUCUUUUGUGUCAUCUUACUCUUGACUUUUUUGUCUGAGUUAAGGCAGAUACCAUAUCUCAACGUAUAUAUCACCCUAGACAGUAACCAGAUCCCAGCUGCGACCAUUGUGUAAUAGUAUCGCAGUUCUCACUGGUAAAUAGAGAGGAUCAGAAAAGUUGAAGAAGCUGCCAAAAGGCUUGGUAUCAGGCAUUAAAAGUGAUUAUUUAAAAAUACAUAUUUGGGUUCUUUUAUUUGCUUUCUGAUCCUAUCAAGCACACUCAAAGCAUAUUUCAGCAUAUUUUUCACUUAUUCCCUUGAAGGUUCUUUUACUUCAAAAGAAAGUGAUUGUUCUCAUCCAAGAGCUUGGGCUUUCUGAAAAACUCCAGCUCUCAUCAGACUUAUGAUAAAAACAUAAGAGCCAGUAACAUUGAGCGUUCCCUUUGUUUUAUAACCUCUCUUUCAUGAAUAUUUACUUUUCAUUUGAAUAAUUAGCAUCAAUAAAAAUGAACACAUUACAUCUGUGGGGACUGCA
RNAcentral lists this long non-coding RNA (2124 nucleotides) under Dromaius novaehollandiae (emu). RNAcentral's name for it is "lncRNA (ENSDNVG00000004610.1)". The record is from RNAcentral. Lineage: Eukaryota; Metazoa; Chordata; Aves; Casuariiformes; Dromaiidae.